CCGCCAUUUGCAACAGUCUCUGACGCAUGGCGACGGGAUAGCAUUGUUUAGCUGUACAGAUCCCGUCUUCUUUUUACAUCAUUAAUGCAUUAAUAUUUUUCUCAUUGAUCCCGUAAAGCCGUCAAGAUUACGGCCGUAAAAGAAGAAGCAAACGGUCUUGAAGCUUCUGUGCAGGGAGGCUUGGCUGUCUUCUACACAGAAAGCCCAGAGGGCUUCUGCCGUUCAAAGAAAAAAUUUAACUUCAACGCAGAGCCACCGUGGGAUCCCAGCUAGUAUUUGCUAAAAGCAGGUGUUCCCUCUGGCCAGAUUGUUUGUAUACCCUUGAACUCAGACUAUCUUUGCGGACUUUUGAGCUAGAAAA
Long non-coding RNA from Haliotis rubra (blacklip abalone), 361 nucleotides. RefSeq lists it as uncharacterized. Lineage: Eukaryota; Metazoa; Mollusca; Gastropoda; Lepetellida; Haliotidae. The record is from RefSeq and is a predicted model, not a curated record. The transcript is spliced from 3 exons.